This 536-nucleotide ribosomal RNA is filed under the name Rhizomarasmius setosus. RNAcentral's name for it is "eukaryotic LSU rRNA". It matches the Rfam family "Eukaryotic large subunit ribosomal RNA", at positions 74 to 612 of the family's 3401-position model. Lineage: Eukaryota; Fungi; Basidiomycota; Agaricomycetes; Agaricales; Physalacriaceae. The record is from RNAcentral.
AUUCCCCUAGUAACUGCGAGUGAAGAGGGAAAAGCUCAAAUUUAAAAUCUGGCAGCUUCGCUGUCCGAGUUGUAAUUUAGAGAAGUGUUACCCGUGUUGGACCGUGUACAAGUCUCCUGGAACGGAGCGUCAUAGAGGGUGAGAAUCCCGUCUUUGACACGGACUACCAAGACUUUGUGGUACGCUCUCAAGAGUCGUGUUGUUUGGGAAUGCAGCACUAAAUGGGUGGUAAAUUCCAUCUAAAGCUAAAUAUUGGCGAGAGACCGAUAGCAAACAAGUACCGUGAGGGAAAGAUGAAAAGAACUUUGGAAAGAGAGUUAAACAGUACGUGAAAUUGUUAAAAGGGAAACGCUUGAAGUCCAGUCGCGUUGGUUGGAAAUCAGUCUUGCUUUUGCUUGAUGUACUUUCUAAUUGACGGGUCAGCAUCAGUUUUGACCGUUGGAUAAAGGUUGAGGGAAUGUGGCAUCCUCGGAUGUGUUAUAGCCCUUGAUUGUAUACAACGGUUGGGACUGAGGAACUCAGCACGCCGAAAGGCC